This 38-nucleotide ribosomal RNA is filed under the name Dermatophyllum secundiflorum. RNAcentral's name for it is "partial 26S ribosomal RNA". RNAcentral also lists the same sequence under 1 other name. Lineage: Eukaryota; Viridiplantae; Streptophyta; Magnoliopsida; Fabales; Fabaceae. The record is from RNAcentral.
CGGGACCUCAGGUCAGGCGGGGCUACCCGCUGAGUUUA